This 72-nucleotide transfer RNA is filed under the name Camelus bactrianus (Bactrian camel). It matches the Rfam family "tRNA". Rfam says of the family: Transfer RNA (tRNA) molecules are approximately 80 nucleotides in length. The record is from Rfam by way of RNAcentral. RNAcentral also lists the same sequence under 3 other names. Lineage: Eukaryota; Metazoa; Chordata; Mammalia; Artiodactyla; Camelidae.
GAGGGUGAAGCUCAGUGGUAGAGCACGUGCUUAGCAUGUACAAGACCCUGGGUUCAGUCCCCAGUACCUCCA